CUCCUUUCUGCCAUUCGUUGCUAUUUGUGUUUAGUCGGCUGAGUUCCUGCUUCAGCUGCCGGUUCUCCUCCUGAGAUCCUCCUGAGACUUUCUGAGCUCCUCUUCCAGUUGCUGGAGCCGGGCGUCCACAAGCUGUAACAACAAAUAUGAACUGGGCAACUAGCAAUACCUCAGCCACAUGACACCUGCCUCCAAAUGAGUCUUGACAAGACAGUACAGUGACUGACGUCACCGCCAUGUCUGCACAUUUGUCACACAACCCGUGAAAGGCGUCAGCGUAGACUGGUGGUUCAAGUGUCCGCCUAAUAAACUGAUCUAUCGUCGGUUACACACGAUCAUACAUGCUGACUUGUCAGUGCUUUCUCACUCACCCACUACCUUUUGUAAGGCACACAACCAUGUUGAAUCACAUGCUACAUAGGAAUAAGACGGUAAGGGUGUAAAUAACCUGUAAUCAUAUGGUAGAACAAGUUGAUGCAGAAACAUUAACAAA
This is a long non-coding RNA of Haliotis rubra (blacklip abalone), 493 nucleotides long. RefSeq lists it as uncharacterized. The record is from RefSeq and is a predicted model, not a curated record. NCBI's taxonomy places the organism in Eukaryota, Metazoa, Mollusca, Gastropoda, Lepetellida, Haliotidae. The transcript is spliced from 3 exons.